CCCUACGGGGCGCAGCAGUGGGGAAUAUUGCACAAUGGGGGAAACCCUGAUGCAGCGACGCCGCGUGAGUGAAGAAGUAUUUCGGUAUGUAAAGCUCUAUCAGCAGGGAAGAAAAUGACGGUACCUGACUAAGAAGCCCCGGCUAACUACGUGCAAGCAGCCGCGGUAAUACGUAGGGGGCCAGCGUUAUCCGGAUUUACUGGGUGUAAAGGGAGCGUAGACGGCGGAACAAGUCAGAAGUGAAAACC
Molecule: ribosomal RNA, 248 nt
Filed under: uncultured bacterium
Lineage: Bacteria
Description: partial 16S ribosomal RNA
Rfam family: Bacterial small subunit ribosomal RNA
Source: RNAcentral